RNAcentral lists this ribosomal RNA (374 nucleotides) under uncultured organism. Its description in RNAcentral is "partial 16S ribosomal RNA". It matches the Rfam family "Bacterial small subunit ribosomal RNA", at positions 527 to 896 of the family's 1533-position model. The record is from RNAcentral.
GUAGGUGGCAAGCGUUGUCCGGAAUUAUUGGGCGUAAAGCGCGCGCAGGCGGUCCUUUAAGUCUGAUGUGAAAGCCCACGGCUCAACCGUGGAGGGUCAUUGGAAACUGGGGGACUUGAGUACAGAAGAGGAAAGCGGAAUUCCAAGUGUAGCGGUGAAAUGCGUAGAGAUUUGGAGGAACACCAGUGGCGAAGGCGGCUUCCUGGUCUGUAACUGACGCUGAGGCGCGAAAGCGUGGGGAGCAAACAGGAUUAGAUACCCUGGUAGUCCACGCCGUAAACGAUGAGUGCUAAGUGUUAGGGGGUUUCCCGCCCCCUUAGUGCUGCAGCUAACGCAUUAAGCACUCCGCCUGGGGGAGUACGGCCGCAAGGCUG